AGCGGAUUAGCGGCGGACGGGUGAGUAACACGUGAGUAACCUGCCUUAGGCAUUGGGAUAGCCUCGGGAAACCGGGAUUAAUACCAAAUAAAAUCAUAAUGACACAUGUCAUAACGAUCAAAACUCCGGUGGUCUAAGAUGGACUCGCGUCCCAUUAGCUAGUUGGUAGAGUAAAAGCCUACCAAGGCGACGAUGGGUAGCCGGCCUGAGAGGGUGAACGGCCACAUUGGAACUGAGAAACGGUCCAA
This 248-nucleotide ribosomal RNA is filed under the name uncultured Eubacteriales bacterium. RNAcentral's name for it is "uncultured Clostridiales bacterium partial 16S ribosomal RNA". It matches the Rfam family "Bacterial small subunit ribosomal RNA", at positions 86 to 334 of the family's 1533-position model. The record is from RNAcentral. Lineage: Bacteria; Bacillati; Bacillota; Clostridia; Eubacteriales.